GAUGAACGCUGGCGGCGUGCCUAAUACAUGCGAGUCGAGCGAACGGACGAGAAGCUUGCUUCUCUGAUGUUAGCGGCGGACGGGUGAGUAACACGUGGAUAACCUACCUAUAAGACUGGGAUAACUUCGGGAAACCGUAGCUAAUACCGGAUAAUAUUUUGAACCGCAUGGUUCAAAAGUGAAAGACGGUCUUGCUGUCACUUAUAGAUGGAUCCGCGCUGCAUUAGCUAGUUGGUAAGGUAACGGCUUACCAAGGCAACGAUGCAUAGCCGACCUGAGAGGGUGAUCGGCCACACUGGAACUGAGACACGGUCCAGACUCCUACGGGAGGCAGCAGUAGGGAAUCUUCCGCAAUGGGCGAAAGCCUGACGGAGCAACGCCGCGUGAGUGAUGAAGGUCUUCGGAUCGUAAAACUCUGUUAUUAGGGAAGAACAUGUGUGUAAGUAACUGUGCACAUCUUGACGGUACCUAAUCAGAAAGCCACGGCUAACUACGUG
Molecule: ribosomal RNA, 497 nt
Filed under: uncultured bacterium
Lineage: Bacteria
Description: partial 16S ribosomal RNA
Rfam family: Bacterial small subunit ribosomal RNA
Source: RNAcentral